Molecule: small RNA, 1676 nt
Filed under: Histoplasma capsulatum
Lineage: Eukaryota; Fungi; Ascomycota; Eurotiomycetes; Onygenales; Ajellomycetaceae
Also listed under: 1 other name
Description: hypothetical RNA
Source: RNAcentral
UCCAAGGUGAAUACGCUGUAUGCAAGUCAUAGUUACUCCUCAAUAACUUAAUUAGGAUGGCGUGCAUUGUCUCAGUAAACUCAUCCAUCCACUCGCCCAAAAAUUUGUACUAAUCCAAUCUUGAACUCCAGCCACAUUCUGGCCAAGUCGUGCUACAAGACUGUCUGACCCAAUGGACAUCCAGAGUGGUUUUGCAUCUUCUUUGAAAAAUAACUGAGCAACGGGUUUUCGGGCGCGUUUUGCACAAGUGCAAGGUCUGCUAGCUUGUUAACUAAAGUUACUAGAUAGCAAUCUCUGCCUACUUCAGGGGUAACUAGAAGGCUAUUAUAUUAUAAGAGAUGAUUUGAGGCAAGCUCCCUCUCCUACCCUCAAACCAUCUCUUACUAUAUACUUCAUCAUCACUUCUGUUUGCAGCUGAUGAAUACUUGAUAAUUACUUGUAUUUUUCUUUAUUGACAUUAUUCUAAAAUACUAUAUUCUCCAACAGAAUAUUGAAUAAAAUAUAUUGAAUAUUUUUAGAUUUACUAGUAUAUAACAGAUCAUAGUGAGUGUGGUGGGUACUCUUAAGAAUGGGAAGCAAGUGCAGCAAGUGAUGGAUACUUGUUUAUCUCAAGAAGAAAUCUUUUCAACAUAUUCCUUGCAGUGUCUGAUAAAGUGAAUUUAGUUUGUUAGCAACAGAGUUACAUUAUCAACAGUAAAUAUAAUUAACCAGUUAAUUAGCAGCACAUAUGUAAAUCAACCGUAUCGGUUUAUCUAGGCUGCAAAUUUCUAAAAAGUAUACAGUAGUUAUGUUUAGGACAGCAGUGGCACAUCUCUUUCAUAAAAUGCUUGACAAAUGAUACAAUCAUAUAAAAUCUAAUUCUCGAAACCAAAAAGAGGCCCAGAGACAGGAUCACCACGAAUGAGAAUGUUGAAACUCUGCAUAUUGCAGAGGUAAGAACCUGGAAGAUUGGCCGAUCGAAUCAAAACGAUGAAUGGCAGCUCGGAAAAGGUAGAAAGCACCUUUUCAACAUGUUCUACUGAAGGGAUUUCUGCAACUCUUAGACGAUUGGGUGCAUAAGGUUAUUGGAAAACCGUGAGCUUAGUACUCAAGAGACGUUUUAAUCGCGUCGAAGAUUCUCGCAACGUCAGGCAUAUUGAACCGCUCGUAGAUCAAGCCAGGGUGGAUAUCCCAGCCAGUAACACGUUUUACAGGGGCCUCCAGGCUCAAAAAAGCGCCUUCCUGAAUGGUGGCGGCCACUUCUGCACCAAUACCAGCAUUCAACAUACUUUCAUGGACAACAAUUGCCCUUCCAGUUUUCCGGACACUCUCUAGGAUUGUCGACCUGUCCCAAGGAUAGAGGGUGCGGAGGUCAAUCAGUUCGAUGCUGACGCCUUUGAAAGCUUUUUCAGCCGCCUCAAUUGCUGCCGAGCAGAGAUAAAGUGGUUGACCAUAUGAUAUGACAGUCAAAUCUUUCCCCGGCUUGAUUACGUCUGCUUUGUCAAGAGGGAGAGUGUAUGCUUCGGUCGGGACAUGUUCCACUGCCGCACGAUAGAGGAUCUUGGGUUCCAUGAAUACUACAGGGUCAUUGCAUUCGAGAAUGGAAGAUAACAAAAGUCCCUUCGCUUGAGUGGGCGAUCGAGGCAUGACAACUCGUAGUCCUGGGAUGUGGGUGAAAAGUGAUUCUGGAGAUUGAG